Molecule: long non-coding RNA, 3594 nt
Organism: Parasteatoda tepidariorum (common house spider)
Lineage: Eukaryota; Metazoa; Arthropoda; Arachnida; Araneae; Theridiidae
Source: RefSeq, a predicted model, not a curated record
UGGAAAUAUUUUAAUAAAAAUACAGCACUGUUUAUAAAUAGUGCAUAUGUGAAUCAUGUGUAGUGCGAUUGAGAUGAUUCGUUUGUUAAAAAGCGAAUACAGAUAUCACGUGGCUUGCAAUCGGUAACCAAACUCUCUAUUCUCAUAAUACAGAUUGACAUGAACUGAAAUGAAUACACCUUGUUUUGUAACAAAAUGGAAUGGGAGUGAGUAAAGAAUCGAAACUUUCAUUAAUAUUUGUUUCUUUGCUUGUUUGAAAUUAAAAUGCAGUGACUUUAAUUACUUCAAGGUUUAUAUUUUCUGAAAAGCUAAAAUGGCAGCCAAGUUGAGGAAUCCUAUGAUGCUGCUUUUAUUUUACAGCAUUUUGAUGGUGACUUUACCAAUUAUGUCCUUUUUUCUGACUCAAUAUUCGGUUGAAAGAUUUCUGGAUGUUGCUAACUCUCGCAGUUAUAUUUAUGCUACAACUGUCAGUGUUGUUGUUGUGCAUAUUAUAUUAGGAUUUUUUGUGUACACUGCAUUCAAAGAAGAGAAAGUGGUUCCUCUAGCUGAAAAGGAAGAUUAAACUUCUAUUUUUUUCUUUUUUAACUUCUACACUAAGUUUAGAAUGUACUUCUGCUAUAAGGUGGUUGUGCUUAAUGUUAUAUAAGUUCAAAGUUAUUGUAUAAUCCAGGAAUAUUAUUUUAUUUGUAUUUUCAAUUUUUUUUCUCUAAAUACUUAGUUUUAAUUUCUGGGACCAUGGUUUGCUUACUUGACUUGAUGCAUGAUAGGUAGAAACUAAAUAUAUUAUUAAAAAAUUAGCUUUACCUCUGUGUGUUAUUUAUCUUUUAUGCAUGCUAGUAGAUGUAGGUAAUCUACUUUCAAUGUGCUAAUAUUUUAUUCUAUGAAUUACGACUUACAACAAAGCAGUAAAAAAAUGUGAAAGUCAGUAAAUGUAAAAACUAAUUUUAAAAUUAUCUUAUAAGAACUGAUGUACUUUUCAAUACAACUUCUCAAUAAAUGUGACAACAAAAUAAGAUUACUAUCUUAAAUUUCUCAGUCUGUAAGCAAAACAUGUCUCAUUUACGCUCUGUCAUUUUUUUCCCUUCAUGUGUUUUAAUGAUGAAAUUAAAAAAUAUAGUCAUUACUAGCUGUGGAAGUGGAAUAUUUUUACAAAAUUUUGUUUAGCUAUUCAAAUAUUUUGUGAUAUAUUAUUCUCAAAGUUUUUAUUUAUAGGACUUUUCUUUCAUCUCGUACCUUGUAUAAAAAAUACAAAUUUUGAUGAAACAAUUGUUUUAAGCUGCUGUGAUGUGACGUGUUAAGUUGAAUAUGUGAGGAAUAAAAUGUUGUUAGGAAAAACAUAUUUUUCAUAAGCAUUGUCUUUAUCAGUAAAUAGAUUGUUUAACAAUCUAUCUUAUUUUUAUUAACUUUUAUCAACCUCUUUGCAAAAUUCUAAAUUUAUAAUUUAAAUGAAGAUACAUCUUGAUUCUACCGUCAUACGUUGGUACUUUAGCUAAGAUAUAGUUAUUUUUACAUUGUUUCUACUAAGUAUAUAAUAAAUUUUUGGGUUUCUUUAAUAACAUAUCUAUGCUAUAAUUUUUCUGCCUGAUAAAGAAAAUCGAAAUUAUUAGUUUUAAAACUUAAUUUCAUACAAAUUUAUUUUUUACAUUUUCAAGUUAACAAACACAAAAAGAAUUUUUUUUUUUGUAAUUUUUUUUAUUAAAAUCAACUUGGUUUUUAGUUAUAUUGUUUUAUUUAUUAUUUAUAAGUGUUUUUCAUUUAUUUAUUUCAAGGUUUAUUUAUCUAAAUUUAUGUUGUUAAACAAAUUUGUUUUGUUAUUUUUCGAUUCAACCUUUGCAGAAUUAUUCAAUAUCUUACCAUUUCUCCUGCCUAAUAAGCAGCAAUCUACUUAUUAAAAUUUUUCUUCUUUUAAACAUAAAAUAGUUACGUCAAAUAUUGUUUUGUAUAUCUCAUAGUCGAAAUCUUCAAAAUUUUACAAUUUUUAUUAAGUACUAACUGUAGAAAUAGUAAAGCAUUGUAAAAAUGAAUUUUUUUAAUGUAUGAGGGAUAUGUUUUAAAAGAGAUUUGGUUUGUGUCAUGCACAAAAGAAAUGUUGAUUGUGUUAGUUAGCAAGAUUUAAUAAAAGUCACCUAAUUUUUAAAUUUGUCUUACUUUUUAAAAUUUUAUUUAAAUUUUACGGAUUUAAAAAAAUAAAUGAAAUAAAAAAUAAUAAUAAGAAGUUGGCGAAGGUCUACAUAUUUUGACGACUUUUCGCUUGUUCCCAGCGAACUGAAUAUGAUCAAAAUGUUGAAACCAGUAAUUUACAUUCUCUUGAAAAAUGUUAAUAUUCAUCAAGUUUAAAUUUUUUGUAUUAGUUAGUUUAUGCUAUCUUCAAAAAUAAAAAGAAUUGAAUGUGUGCCUUGAAUAUUUUUAUGUAAAUAAUUAUUUCAGUUUAUCUUAUUGUGAAAUGUGUUUUCAUAGCUAGUGAAUUUUAUUUUUGUGAUUGUCACAAUUUGUGUGUUUCUGCAAUUUCCAGAGCCUUGCAGUAUAAUAUCUCACAUAUAAGUACAAAUGAAUAGAGAUCCCUGUCCAAAUAUCCCACUUAAACUUUUCAAAACUUCAUUUCCUUUUGUUUGGAAACAAUUUUGAAAACUUAAAAGAUUUUAUUUGGGUAUAAUUGUUUUCAUGUUGUCUAUUUUGUCCCUUUUUGUGAUUGUAUUUUACUAAAAUGUCUUGCACUUGAUGAACCUUUUGUUAGUCAUUUUAGUGUCUGUUAAUGUUUAACUCAAUCUAAUGUAUAUAUUACUGUUAUAAUUCUUUCUAUUUUUGAAGGCAGGUAAACGUUAAUACUUUAAUCUGUUAAGCUGAUAAUUUUGACUCUAACAUAAUAAUUACGUACUAAUUAAAAAAAGAUUGUUAGUUUUUUACAUAUUUGAUUGUUUUGGGUAUAUAUUUACAGUUAAAUGAUAUUAAAAUUAUGACAAAUUAUUGUCAAUUCUUAGGUAUUUUGAUGUAAAUAAUCUCAAUAACUCUGUCUUUUGCUUUUAAAUAACUUUCGUAGAAAUUUUUUAGGCCAUUUAAAGUUUCAGUAGUUAGUGAUUUGGAGAUCACUUGAAAUCUUUAAUUUCUGUUAGAAGUUAAUUUGCAUAAUUUUUAUUUUGAAUUAAAGGCAUAUACUAUUACAUGGAAUUUUUGUCUUAUUUCAUUUUCCAAAAUGUAAGUAUUUAUAAAUUGUUUUAUAAGUGUAUCAAGUAAUACAUUUGUUGAGUUGUAUUUUGAAAUUUUAAUUUUUUUUUUCUGUUUGUGUAUUUUUAAAAAAAAAGUUCAAUAAAUAAGGCAUGUUUUUAAAGUACUUUAUUAAAAAGAAGUUGAAAGUUGUUCAUAAUAUUAACUUCAGAAAAAGAAUACUUCAACUCAUCGGUGUAUUCUUUUUUCAAUGGAACUUUCAAAAAAUCACAUGGAAGAUGCAAUAUAUAUUAUAUUAAUUUAGAUCAUUAUGUACAUUUUAUCUCUUUUUUUGUUACAAGGAAUACAUUUCAAUCUUUGUACAUGCUUGUUUCAUUUUUGACUAGAAGUCUUAUUCUUCUCUCUUUUUUUUCAAUAAACUUUUUUUUUUAA